CGGGGUGCAGCAGGCGCGAAAACUUUACAUUGCUCGAAAGUGUGAUAAGGGAAUCCUAAGUGCUCAUACACUGUAUGGGCUUUUGCCAAGGGUAAAUACCUUGGAGAAUAAGUGGUGGGUAAGAUUGGUACCAGCAGCCGCGGUAACCCCAGCUCCACAAGUGUGAACCAUAUUUAUUUGGCCUAAAGCGUCCGUAGUUGGUUUGGUAAAUUUUUUCUGAAAUCGUAAAGUUCAACUUUUCGGCAUUCAGAGGUCACUGCAAGACUUGAUACCCGUAGGUGUAAGGAGUAUUCAUAGGGAUCCGGUAAAAUGGGAUAAUCAUAGGAAGAGUACUUGCGGGGAAGGCGCCUUACCAGAACGGGUUUGACAAUGAGGGAUGAAGGUUAGGGGAGCUAACAGGAUUAGAUACCCGAGUAGUCCUAGCAGUAAACGUUCCCUGUUAGGUGUUCCCCCAUCUUCUAGAUUGUGCAAAAUCCAACCUAAGCCGUUGACAUUCGGGCCUGGGAAGUACCGUCGCAAGACUGAAACUUAAAG
RNAcentral lists this ribosomal RNA (534 nucleotides) under uncultured archaeon. Its description in RNAcentral is "bacterial SSU rRNA". It matches the Rfam family "Archaeal small subunit ribosomal RNA", at positions 326 to 861 of the family's 1478-position model. The record is from RNAcentral.